ACAUUGAAAAAGCAAGCCAAUAUGUUUUUCCUGAUCAAAAAAAUACAAAGAGUGAGAAAAUGAGCAAUUCUCGCUGAACUCUUCCUUUAAAUUAGCCAACUGACUGAUUAGAAAUUUGAAGAAAACAGUCGUUAUUAAACAGGACACACCUUAGUUAAAAAUUACUCGCAGCUUUCCUUCAUUUUUCUCCAGGCCUGUUUCAGACUUUUAUUAUUACCGUAUUUUCACGACUAUUCGACGCACUGUACCAAUGGCCGCAGUCUCAUUAAUGGGUGACAUUUCUGUAUUUUACACAUACACAGGACGCAUCGUACUAAUGGCCGCAGUUUUACAGUGGUAAAACAUACGCCAGCUUAAACAUACGGCAUGCAUGCGCGCACUCUAACACGUUAGCUUGAAGCAUACGGUAGCACGCCAAGACAUACAGAUAAGCUAAAUACACGUUUUUAAAAAGGCAACGAAAGCAGAACUGAGAUCGGGUGGAUUUUAUUUAGCCAUCGUACAAUGUUCUCACGUUUUCGAUCAAUCAUCACCCAGAAAUCCAUCAAAGUCCUCAUCCUCUGUAUCAGAAGCAGAGGACUGCACAUCUCAGUUGUCAUUGAAUGCAUCACAUGCUAGUGUGAGUUGCUACGCAUUGCCGAGCGGAAAGAAGGAGUAGCAACAGCAAAGUCAACAUUUCUCUCGUGUGAAGCUUUCCCACAUUUGAAAGUAAAGAACAGAGCGAAACAUGGUGGCAGCGCGUGUGUGUGUAGAAAGAAUUGAACAAUUGUGCAAGUACCGUAAUCCAUCAAAAACGCCGCGUUCCCUCUCGUUGUUGCGUAUUGUGGCGUAACUCGCCAAGCGCUGCCUCUCGCUCUUUGUAAAGUUGUGUUUGCCACCGAUCGUCCAUUGUUCCCAUGCCGUUCGCAACUUUACUUUGAACGCCCGGUUGAUGCCAAUGUCCAGCGGUUGGAGUUCUUUAGUCAAGCCUCCGGGAAUAACGGCAAGCUCAGAGUUCAUUUGCUUGACUUGUUUUUUUCACCGCUGCUGUGAGAUGGGCACGCAUGCCAAAAGCAUAACCGGUGGCUUUAAGUUUGAACUGAGCUUCGUAGGCGUGUCUUUUUGUCGAAUUUAUUUUCAGGGGUUCUUAGAAACCAAAACCGGAGUUGUUUUGCAACAAUGCACAUUGCCACACUCUAUACAAGUGUUGGUACUGGCUUGAGGCGUCCCUUUAGCGUCCAACACGCCCACCCUUCACCAUUGGCGGACUAGGUUGCCUGUCCUCUCUCUCCCUCUCCCUCUCUCUCUCUCCCUCUCCAUAUAUGUAUAUAUACACGCCCACCCUUCCCUGAUUGGCCAACUUCUUUCCGCAUGCCCGGCCACAGUCACUUCCGCCUUUUCUCUAUAUAAACAGCGUGUCGGCCGUCAGUCAGAUUUUGGAACUCAGCGCAUAUAAAGGACGCUCCGCACCAUAAGGCGUCCUGUCCAUUUUGGAGAAAAUUUAAGACUUUUAAUGGCGCCUUAUAGUCGUGAAAAUACGGUAAUUUAGUUGACAAUUCAAAUGCAAUGCCUCGUUUUCAUUGUUUUAUUUUGAUGUAUUACUACUUUUGCCACUCUGGAUUUUUCCUUCAAAUUUGUCCACAUGUGGACAAGCCAAAUAUCAAUAACUCCAUGUCGACGAAAGAACAAUUGAAGGAAUAAGUGUCAAGAACACAACAUGCAUGUUUUCUCCUAUGAUAUUCACCUUGAGGCGGGGAAGUUUGAGGAAGUCAUCCUGUU
Long non-coding RNA from Hippocampus zosterae (dwarf seahorse), 1758 nucleotides. RefSeq lists it as uncharacterized. The record is from RefSeq and is a predicted model, not a curated record. Lineage: Eukaryota; Metazoa; Chordata; Actinopteri; Syngnathiformes; Syngnathidae. The transcript is spliced from 2 exons.